This 49-nucleotide ribosomal RNA is filed under the name Opuntia hyptiacantha. RNAcentral's name for it is "26S ribosomal RNA". The record is from RNAcentral. Lineage: Eukaryota; Viridiplantae; Streptophyta; Magnoliopsida; Caryophyllales; Cactaceae.
GCGACCCCAGGUCAGGCGGGUCUACCCGCUGAGUUUAAGCAUAUCAAUA